GCCCAGGUGGCGGAACUGGCAGACGCGCCACGUUGAGGUCGUGGUGGGAGUUACAUCCCUUGGAGGUUCGAAUCCUCUCCUGGGCAC
Molecule: transfer RNA, 87 nt
Filed under: Poriferisphaera corsica
Lineage: Bacteria; Pseudomonadati; Planctomycetota; Phycisphaerae; Phycisphaerales; Phycisphaeraceae
Description: Planctomycetes bacterium KS4 tRNA-Leu
Rfam family: tRNA
About the family: Transfer RNA (tRNA) molecules are approximately 80 nucleotides in length. Their secondary structure includes four short double-helical elements and three loops (D, anti-codon, and T loops). Further hydrogen bonds mediate the characteristic L-shaped molecular structure. tRNAs have two regions of fundamental functional importance: the anti-codon, which is responsible for specific mRNA codon recognition, and the 3' end, to which the tRNAs corresponding amino acid is attached (by aminoacyl-tRNA synthetases). tRNAs cope with the degeneracy of the genetic code in two manners: having more than one tRNA (with a specific anti-codon) for a particular amino acid; and 'wobble' base-pairing, i.e. permitting non-standard base-pairing at the 3rd anti-codon position.
Source: RNAcentral